This 253-nucleotide ribosomal RNA is filed under the name uncultured bacterium. RNAcentral's name for it is "partial 16S ribosomal RNA". It matches the Rfam family "Bacterial small subunit ribosomal RNA", at positions 524 to 776 of the family's 1533-position model. The record is from RNAcentral.
UACGAAGGGGGCUAGCGUUGUUCGGAAUUACUGGGCGUAAAGCGCGCGCAGGCGGCUAUCCAAGUCAGUGGUGAAAGCCCGGAGCUCAACUCCGGAACUGCCAUUGAAACUGUUUAGCUUGAGGAUGAGAGAGGUGAGUGGAAUUCCCAGUGUAGAGGUGAAAUUCGUAGAUAUUGGGAAGAACACCGGUGGCGAAGGCGGCUCACUGACUCAUUACUGACGCUCAGGCGCGAUAGCGUGGGGAUCAAACAGG